This 10996-nucleotide long non-coding RNA is filed under the name Citrus maxima (pomelo). Its description in RNAcentral is "long non-coding RNA (CMAX_LNC000951)". The record is from RNAcentral. Lineage: Eukaryota; Viridiplantae; Streptophyta; Magnoliopsida; Sapindales; Rutaceae.
CUCACUCACCCCCUCUCUAACUCACCCGCUCUGUCUCUCUAAUUCUUAUCCCUCCUCUCAGUCACCCCCUCUCUGACUCACCCGCUCUGUCUCUCUCACUCUUACCCACGAAGCUCGUUCCCCUCACACUCACCCGCAAGCUCACUGUCAAAAUUUUGCUCAGAUCUCAGCUAACACAUCAUCAAAACCGCAACGAUGACGCUAGGCUCAGGAGGAUCCAGUGUUGUGGGUCAGUUUCUUCUCUGAUCUUGCCCUUUUUUGUUCAAUCUGUUUAUGCCCUUGAUUGAUUUAUUCUCUUUGUUUUGGGUGGUUUUCUGCAGUCUUAUGAACAUUUUUUUUUUUGGCAUAAAUGCAUGCGGGUUGCUAAGUUUAAUUGUUAAUUAGACCUGAUCCGCAAUUCUAUGCGUUUUUUGAAUUUUUGAUCGCGAAAUUUAGUUAAUUUAAUUUAAUAGUGUUGGAUCAUCAUCACUAUUAAAUUAAUAGUUAAAGAAAUUCUUUUGACACGGGCUUUAUGAAACCUUGUAUGUGAUACUUUGCUUAUAAAAGUAUUUGGAUUGUUUUUUGUAUUUAUAUUUUAAAAUUACUAGAAACAAGUUAUUUGAAGUGUGAUACUUUGUGAAAUGUUAAAACCUUAUGAUUUGGUUGUAAUUUUGUUUUUGCUUAUAUAUGUUUACGUUUGUUGGCAGUAAAGCAUAUAUUGCUAAUCCAGUAAUUGCAGCUUGAUUCUAAGGUUCUUUUACCUUAUUAUGCAAGGUAACAAAAUUAGUCAAAUUAUGAAUAAAAUCUUUUACACUACACAAAAAUUUAUGCCAUUUAGUCACGUAAGAGAAAAGUUAUUUGUAUUAUACAUAACUUGAUUGAAAUGAAAUAAUAUAAUUGUAAAAAUUAACAAAGUCAAAUAAAUUAUACGCAACAAUCUAAAUCUUAUAAAUUCUUAAAAAUUCCUACUCUUUGUAUAUGGUAAGGUAAGAAUUUUGAGAUCAGUCUUCAGUUUGACAAAAAAAUUAUAUCCGAACUCAUAGUCUUUCCUUAGUGAAGCAAAGAAAUUCGUGACCAAUAAUGUGAUCAUAUAACCACUAGGUAAGAAAAUUAUGUAUCAUACAUAAGUCAAUAAUUAUAUUUUUUAAAAGUUAAUUACAGUAUAAUUGAAUGACAACCUAAUUUUCUCCUACCCAUGUGAGCUAAGCGCUACAUAAGAAUGAUAUUUUUUGAAUAAUAACAAAAAGUACAAGUAAAUAAAAUAUAUUUAUUUAAGCUAAAUGCUACGUAAGAAGUUCCUUUUAUAUACUAGUCUAUGUCUCUCUUCCUCUCUCUCUUUCUCUCUCAUACUAGUCUCUCUCUCUCUCUUUCUCUCUCAUACUAGUCUCUCUCUCUCUCUCUCUCUCUUAGGAGUAUUUUAUCGUACAAUCUAGGUAUUUUUUUAAGUUCAUUUUUUAAAAGAUUGGAGAGUGGAUCAAAUCUAAAUCGAUUUUUUUAGCCUUUACCUCCCCUAAAAUUCAAAAUGUAUUAACUAGCUAAAUAAAAAUACUUGAAAAUUGUUUGACUAAGUCAUUGAGGCCAUAAUUUAAACACUGAUAGAUAGUUAAAAAGUUCCAAUAAAAUAUGAUCAUCUAAUGGUGUCUUUACAGUUUUGUAACCACAACCAGUACAAUGUCUCUAUCAAAUGACAUGUUUCUACCCAGAAUCAAUUUCUUUUUUACUAUAUGGAAUUAUCUGCUCAUGGGUUGUCUGCUCAUGGUUUGUCUGCUCAUGAGUUCUCUGCUAAUGGAUCGUCUGCUCAUGGAUUGUCUACUCAUGGAUUGUCUGCUCAUGGGUUGUCUGCUCAAGGAUCGUCUGCUCAUGGGUUAUCUGCUCAUGGAACAUCUGCUCAUAGAAAAUCUGCUCAUGGUGCUAACUAAUCAGCGGCUUCCCACCAAACAAAUUUAAUGUUGAUGCAGGGAUCUGAGAUUCGAUCAACUCAUCCAGAUUUCGGCAUCAACAUCUAGUGCCGUCUGUGGGGACCGGUACGAGAAGCCAAUUUUUUGUCUCUAUCAAUUUUCAUCUAGUCGAAGCAAAUCAGAAUGUUACAGUGCAUAAAUGGAUGAGCUUGCUUAAACAAGGAUGCAAAAACCUUAAACGAGAGCACAUUGAAAGCACACGUUUGUAAAAAUCAGAACAAGUCAGAAGUUAAAUUUUUAUUUACAAGCAAUUUUUUCAUGAAAAUUUAAUUAUUUCUCUAAAUCCUGCUAUGUGAGAUGAGGAUACCUUAUAUUCAUUAAAUUGAUUGUGCUCAUGUUAGGGCUGACGGUAUAACUUAGUUAACUUGAUUUCUUGAAAGUUACUCAAUAUGAGAAUGAUUUAAGAAAGGAGAGCUAGGCUAGCGUUGAGAAGCCAAUCAAAGUUUACUAAUAAGGCGUGCAAAGGCUCCAAAGUCUCAAAGCCUAUUUUAUGGCGAGACAGGAAGCCAAGCAUGCCAGGAUCUUCUCGACCAAGUGAAGGCGAGCAGACCACCAAAGUUCCAAAAAGUUUCUAAGGCGUGCAAAGGCUCCAAAGUCUCAAAGCAUGUUUUAUGGCGAGACAGGAGGCCAAGCAUGCCAGGAUUUGCUCGACCAAGCAAAGGCGAGCAGACCACCGAAGUUCCAAAGAGUUUCUAAGGCGUGCAAAGGCUCCAAAGUCUCAAAGCCUGUUUUAUGGCGAGACAGGAGGCCAAGCAUGCCAGGAUCUGCUCGACCAAGCGAAGGCGAGCAGACCACCAAAGUUCCAAAAAGCUUCUAAGGCGUGCAAAGGCUCCAAAGUCUCAAAGCCUAUUUUAUGGCGAGACAGGAAGCCAAGCAUGCCAGGAUCUGCUCGACCAAGCGAAGGCGAGCAGACCACCAAAGUUUCCAGUCUUGAUUCGUUUCACUCUCAACACUAGAAACUAGGGGUGUUCAGAAUCCGAUCCGAUCCGUUCAAUCCGUCUGAUCCGUAAAAAUCCGAUCCGUAUAAAUCCGAUCUGUGGAUUGGUGGAUUGGAUUGGAUUGAAAUUUUAAAAAUCCGCAAUCGGUGGAUUGCAUAUGGAUUUACUUCUGUGAAUCUGCAAAAAUCCGUGAAUCCGCAAAAAAAAAUAUAUUUAUUUAUUUAUUUUAAAAAUAUUAUUAAUAUGAUAAUUAUAUAAACACCAUAAUAUAAUUUAGUCAUUAUUUAAUAAAAUUAUAAAAUAAAAAAUAUUAAAUUAAUAAUUAAAAAAUUAAAAUAAAGUAAAGUCAUCAAGUAAAGUAACAUAACAAUCAUUAUCUAAUAAAAAUAAAAAAUAAAAAAUGAUCAAAUCGGUCAAAAAUUAUUGAAAUAAAGUCAUCCUCAUCCAAAACCAAAACGAAAGUUAAAGCUUUUGUUAAAAAAAAAAGUAACAAUGACAUAAAGUCAAAAGUAAAUUAGAUAACGCCAAAAGCAACUAGCAUUAGCAAUUUAGCAUAACGUAAAAUCGCAAAUCAGUGGUCACGACCUGCAAACGAAAAAAAAAACCCUAAGCUGCUUCUUGCUUCCCUGCCAUUACAGUCACGCACGAUUCCGACGAGUACUAUUAAACCUUACCACGGUGUUUCUAUCUCCUUCUCCAGGUACAAUACUCGUAAACAUUCUCCUAAUUUAUUAUUUUGAUUUUAUCUUUGAUAACAUUUGUUCUGAUUUUUUUAAUUAUUAUUAUGUAUCUUCUUUUUUGUCAAUGGUGACUUAAGAUAAUGAUUUUGAUAUCCUUUUAUUAAUAAUAAGGUUGUUGGGGAUCGAGGGAGAGAAUUAUUUAUUGAUUGCAUGUCUUAAUUCGGUUGCUUUUGCUUUUUGUUCUGUGGUAAAACUGAAUUUGUUAAUUUCUUCUUUGAUGGGCUAUUUUUUUAAAAAAUGAAGAUUAAAGAGUUGUUGUGGGGGGUGGUUGAAUAAUGUUGCUUCUGUGAAUCUAACAAUCAUAUUGCCUUUUCUGGAUGUAACACAUGAAUUUCGUGAUUUUUCUUUUUGAAUUGGCUUCUUUUACUUUUCCUAACUAAACUCUUUUAAGCUUAAUUUGUUCCUGUCAUUUUUCAUAAUUAAUUCUAAUGAUUUUUCAUAUUGGUGGUGUAGAUGACUUCUCAAUUUGAUAAAGGAAAACGUGUAGCUGUAGAUUCAGCCCCCCCCAAGUUCUAAAUCAUCCAGUAAUGCUGAAGGUACACCAAAUAAAUCCACUACUUCAGAAGCUUGGGAGCAUUUUAUCCAAUUAAGUUCUGAUCCACUGCAUCCUAGAUCCAAAUGUCGAUAUUGUGGAAAAGAAUAUAAAUGUGGUUUUAAUAAAGGAACAUCUAAUUUAUUGGGUCAUAUAAGAGAGAGAUGUCUAAAAUAUCCUGGUCGAGCUCGAGUGGACAAAAAACAAAAAACUUUGUCUUACCAACCAGUGAAAAUUGGAGAGUCAUGUAGCCUUGUAUCAACGACCUAUAGUGUUGAGGCUUGUAGGGAAGCAAUUGCUAAGUUUAUUAUAAAAGAUGAGAUGUCAUUUAGAGUUGUAGAGGGUGAAGAGUUUAGGGAAAUGUUGGGAGUUUUUGAAAAUAGAUUUAAAGUACCAUCUCGCACUACUAUUGCUCGUGAUAUUUUGCAACUUUACAAAAAAACAAAGAAAGAUUUAACUAAUUUUUUUGUUAGUAGUCAUCAAAGAGUUUGCCUCACUACAGACACAUGGACUUCAGCUCAAAAUCUUUGUUAUAUGUGUCUUACAGCUCACUUUAUUGAUGAUAAUUGGACAUUACACAAAAAAAUAUUGAAUUUUUGUCAAGUUGCUGACCAUAAAGGUGAAACAAUUGGUAGGCAAAUUGAAACAUGCCUAUUAGAUUGGGGUAUUGAGAGAGUUUUUACAGUAACGGUUGAUAAUGCUUCUUCUAAUGAUGGUGUUGUCUUUUAUUUGUCAAAAGUUGUGAACAAUUGGAAUAGUGCAAUCUUAGGGGGUCAAAAUAUGCAUUUGAGGUGUAGUGCACAUAUAUUAAAUCUCAUUGUUGCGGAAGGGUUAAAAGAGUAUCAUCAGUCGAUUUCUAAGAUUCGCAAUGUUGUAAGAUUUGUUAGAUCUUCACCUUCUAGGACGCAAAAGUUUAAGGCAUAUGCAGAGCGAGAGAAAAUUUCUUCAAAUAAGUUGUUGUGUCUAGAUGUCAUAACUAGAUGGAAUUCCACUUUUUUCAUGUUAGAGGCUGCUGAAAAGUAUGAAAAAGUAUUUGAUCGGUUAGAGCUUCAUGAUGCACAAUACAUUCGUGAGUUUUGUUUGAGCUAGCCAAAAACGUGUCCUUCAUCAAUUGAUUGGGAAUAUGCUCGUUAUUUCAUUAAAUUCUUGAAGGUUUUUCAUGAUGCCACUUUGACAUUUUCGGGUUCUUUAUAUGUGACAUCCAAUAAUUUUUUGCGCCAAUUAUGUUUGAUUCAUACACAAUUGCAAGCUUGGAGGGAUAGUAAGGAUUUAUUUUUGAAGAUAAUGGCUGAAAAUAUGAAAAAGAAGUAUGAUAAGUAUUGGGGAAAUUAUGAAACAAUCAACCCUUAUUUGUUUGUUUCUAUUUUGCUUGAGCCUCGACAUAAAGAACGGUUUUUGAGAUAUUGUUUUGUAGUAUUGUUUGGUGAAUUUAAAGCUAAUGAGUUGGUUGUUAAAGUGCGAAAUAAUUUACAUAGUUUAUAUGAGGAAUACAAAUUGCUUUAUGGUGAUGAUGUGGAAGUAAUGGAUGCUGUCAAUGAUGAAAAAGAUUUAGAGGUUGAUACUGAGGUUGAUGCUAGGCAAAUGUUUGAUUCGGGUUAUAUGAGGAUUUUAAAAGACAACAUUUUUGUAGAGUGCAAAACAGAAGUGGAUCUUUACUUGUUAGAAUCAUGUGAGAACCCAGAAAAUGAGAGUUUUGAUGUUUUGGAUUGGUGGAAGAUUAAUUCUUCCAAAUAUCCAAUUUUGUCCUAUGUUGCUCGAGAUAUUUUGGCCAUGCCUGUUUCCACUGUGGCAUCUGAGUCAGCAUUUAGCACUGGUGGGCGUGUUCUUGAUCCACAUCGGUGCUCACUAUCUACAAGGACGGUGGAGGCAUUAAUUUGCACACAAAAUUGGCUACGUUCAACUCCGAUAAAUCUUGAUGAAGCAAUAGAUGAGAUUGAACAUAUUGAGACAGGUAAAAUGUAACAAUUUAACUUUAAUUUUAUUUUUUGAUUAUUAUUUGACUUUAUAUUGUUAUUCUAUUUUAAAAAUUGACAUUUUUCUUAUCUUAUACGUACAGAGAUUUUGGGAGCUGACAAGAACAUAUUUGAUGAAGCUUGAUGGCAUUUGAUGGGAUAUAAGGGUAAAUAUUUAUUAAUUUAUUUAUUAAAUAAAUUUUUUUAUUUAAUAAAUUUUUUAUUUGUUAUUUAUAUCAAUUAUGUUUAUUUUGUUUAGGCUAAAAUACGAAACACAAAUUGGAGAUGGAAGUUUUUCCUUUUGGUGUGUUUUAUUUUGAGACUUUCAAUGUAUUAUUGUGGCUUUAUUUGAACAAUUAAUUUUGAUAUUAUAUUAAUAUAUUAUUGUAAUUUUAUUUGAACAAUUAAUUUUGGUAUGUUAUAUUUUAAAACUUUAAACGUAUUAUUAUAGUUUUAUUUAAACAAUUAAUCUCGAUGUGUUAUAUUUUAAAAUUUUGAAUGUAUUAUUAAAACAAACAAUUAAUUUGUUUAAAUUUUAUUAAAUUUUAAAUUUAAUUGGUAGUAAAAUUAUUUUAUUUCGUAAAUCAAUUCGUAAAAUGAUGGAUUUGGAUAUGGAUUGAGUUAAAUCCGCAUCCGAUCCGCAGACGUAUGGAUUGGAUAUGGAUUGAGUCAAAUCCGUAUCCGAUCCGCAGAUGUAUGGAUUGGAUUUGGAUUGAAUUUAAUCAAUCCGUGGAUUGGAUUGGAUUGAAAAAUUAUAAUCCGUAAAAUCAUGGAUCGGAUAUGGAUUGAUGUCCAAUCCGUAAAAUCCGAUCCGCGAACACCCCUACUAGAAACUGGGGGACUGGUGUUCAGGGAAUGAAAUAGGGUGACUAAGAUAAAGGUGUUUGCUCAUACAUUAUCGUGCUCUCCUCAAAGUAAAAGUGAGCAAAUGGUUGAGCAGAUCACCUCGACCAGGAUGUUGUUUGGUGACCUCGAGCACAUCACCUCGACCAGGAUGUUAUUGGUCACCUCGAGCCGAUCAUCUCGACCAGGAUGUUAUUGGUCACCUCGACUAGAAUAAUAUGUGGUGACCUCGAGCACAUCACCUCGACCAAGAUAUUAUUGCUCACCUCGACCAGAAUAAUAUGUGGUGACCUCGAGCACAUCACCUCGACCAAGAUAUUAUUGCUCACCUCGACCAGAAUAAUAUGUGGUGACCUCGAGCACAUUUCCUCGACCAGGAUGUUAUUGGUCACCUCGACCAGGAAGUUAGUAGGAAGCACGAUUCAGUCAAAAUAUUUUCUCUGAAAUAUUAGGGACCAUAUUCUUAGUGGGCUGAAAAUUAGUAAUUUUCUUGAGAAUUCUAGGGGAGAGGAUAAAAACCGCUAUAGUUUCCUAUAAAAACCCUAGGAAGGGGAAGGAAAAAGGGGAUUCUUCGAGCUCUCUCUCUCUCUCUGGGCAACUGAACCCAUUAGGCCUUUUUCUCUCUCUACCACUGGGAAAUUUCUCUUUCGCUUAUGAUUUCUUUAAGAUUAAUUAUUCUCAAUUAUUUUCCUUUAAAUUUACUUAAAAGCUUUUUUGUUUAAAGCAAUCAUAAUUAAGCCACAUGAAUUGUGGUAUGGGUUUUUCUAAGUAAGACCCAAAUCGCUGACUUGAGCGUCUGAGGGUUCUCGCCGGAAAAACUUCCGGCACCUCCUGACUGUUGGUUGAGCUCACAGGCUCACAGGCUCACAGGUUGUCUGUUCAUGGAUUGUCUGCUCAUGGGUUAUCUGCUCAUGGGUUGUCUGCUCAUGGUUUGUCUGCUCAUGAGUUCUCUACUAAUGGAUCGUUUGCUCAUGGAUUGUCUACUCAUGGAUUGUCUGCUCAUGGGUUGUCUGCUCAUGGGUUGUCUGCUCAUGGAUCGUCUGCUCAUGGGUUAUCUGCUCAUGGAACAUCUGCUCAUAGAAAAUCUGCUCAUGGUGCUAACUAAUCAGCAGCUUCCCACCAAACAAAUUUAAUGCUGAUGUAGGGAUCUGAGAUUCGAUCAACUCAUCCGGAUUUCGGCAUCAACAAAUAUGAUAGUUACUAUUUUACGUUUGAAAUAUUAUGUUUCUUCUGAAAGCUACCAAUCUCAUUUACAUUUCCUAGUCAAAGACUUAUUGAAAUCAAUUAUUUAUGCUAUUAAUUCAGUUAGUUAAGGAUAUACUUUAAAGUUUAAAUGAUAUGACAUUUAAUCAACCAACAAUACAACAUUUAUCGAUUUAAUAUUAAGAUAUCUAAACAAAAUGAGAUGACAAGAUCAGUACUCAACAUAUAAUUUAAUUUUAAUAUAACUUCUUUCAUAAAUAUUGAUACAAUAAUAUUGUAUCAAUAUCAUGUCACUUGUUUUACUUUAUUUACUUAUUACUUAACUCUUUUAGCACUUAUACGUCACUCAUAAACUUGUAUAAAUUUUGUAUGCAUCGAAUUGUUGGGAUUAAAAUUCAUAGAGUUCAACUCUCGUGCACGAACUUAGGAUUUCUCUAUUAAGUUUACUUGAAUAUGAUUAUAUUUUUGUUAUAGUUUAUAACCUCUUUUCAAUUUUUUCGAUAUCUAUGAUUUUCAUUAAAUCACUACUCUAGUUGGCAUUUCGCAUCACCCCAAUUGAUUAGUUGCUCUCUAAUCCAACAAAAUUAAUAUGGAAAGAAAUGAAUGGCCAGCGAUAAAUAUUCCAACAUUAUGCAUUAAGCCAUUCCACUCCUACAAAACUGAAUCUUUGACAGAAUGCUUUUUCACGUGAUCAUGUAUGUGUCAAAGUUUUGUGACAGAUAUAUUAUUUUGCAGAUGUGGCAAACACAGUCGUUUCAAAAUCUUAGAGGCCUUCAAAUUUUGAUUAUUCUAUAAGAGGAUAGUUACAAAAUUCUGCUACAAAUAGUAAAAGUUAAGUGAUUCUUGACAGAAUACUAUCAAAAGGUUUAAAUAAAAUCUCACAUCUUAAUAUUUUACAAAAAUGUGUUUUAAAUAUUUUAAUUUUUUUACAUAAUUCUAUCAAUGAACUUUCUUUUUAAAUUUUUAAUUCCACGUAGACAUUGAAAAAUGACCUAGUUUUAAAAGAUUCCAAUGAUUUAACUGAUGUGAAUAUAUCUUCAAUAAGUCAACGACAAAAUUCUAUGAAACAAAAUUUACUAUUUUAAUUAUUUUAUAUUGCCACAUCAAUAAACUAAAACGAUGAUAUUUCAUAUGCUCAAAAAAGAAAAACUUAUGUAGGUCGAGUUCGCCAUCUCAUCAUAUUAAAAAGGCGUGUUCAACCAAUAAGAAUUUGCCAUCUAAAAAGUUCAAUGGGUCUUUUGAAAAGCUUGGCUCGAGUCUGAGCCUGAGUGUUUCAGGUCGGACUCAGCCUAAGCUCGGGCAUAAAACACAAUAAAUGCUCAAAAAAUAAAAGAAUAAAUAUUUUAUUUUUAAUUAAAAUACACUUUUUAAUAUAUGUUUAACAUAACCAGAAGUCCAGAACAUAUAUUUAAAGUUUUAAAUUUUUAACAGAACUUUUAAUACCUAAUCUAAUAAGAAAGUUUAUAAAUUAUAAAUUUAUAGAAUACAAUGAAAAAGGUUUAAAAAAAUUAAAGUAUAAAUAUGAGGUUUUACAAUAAAAUAUCAAAUGGUGGCAAAAUGGGCGGCCAAAAAGUGCGCCAAAUCAAAAUUAUUCAAAAUUCCUCUCUUCAAUGCCCUUUUUAUUUUAUGCACCGCUGAUAUAAAAUUAACACAAAAACAUUCUGAAAUCGAAAGCUUGGAACGAAUCUCACGCCUCUCGCCUUCUCUUUCUCGCAUUUCGCAUUCCUCUUUGCCUCUCUCUCUCUCUCUCUCUCUCACACACACACACACACAUAAAUGUUAACCUCACCAGUCCUCACAAAUAAGCCGUUUGCUUUUAUCACUUGCUGGGCAAUCAUCUCCAAAAAUGAAACAACUGAAAUUCAAAUGGGAUAUUUAUUUUUCUCUCCAGAUUCUUUUCUCUGAAAUAAUGCUAAAACAAUUUUUUUUUUGUUUUUUUUGUAUAAUUUCAGCAAAGGUCCAGAUCGCUCAAGGCCUAAUUUCAUCUCAAGGUUUGUCUUUUUCCUCUUGAUUGCCUUUCGUUAUUGGUUUCUCAUGUGACAUUACUUUACUUUGUUCUUUGCUUAUUGUAAAUUUAUUCACGGUUUCUACAUUAUAAGUUACGGUCUUUGUUUACUUUUAUUAAAAAUUAUGGUAUAUGAAUAAUAAGAAUAAUAAUAAUAUUGGCUUGUUUGCGUAAUUGUCUUCGAUAUUGACUGUAUUUACAAGAUUCUCUGUGACAUAUUUCUUAUUGUGAUUGUUUAAUUAGUCUCGAUUGCAAUUUUUACAAGAUUUGAUGAAUGUUAAAAUUUAAGUAACAAUUUAAAUUUGUACACCAAGUGUUUGUUAUAAUGCCGUGUGUUAUCUUCAAUAGAUUUUUUUUUUCUUUAACACGUAGUAUAAGCCUGAUAAUAUUUUUCAAUUUCUUUCCAAGAUGCAGUUUUUGAUAAAGAAUAAAACAAAUGAUUGAGACUGUUUCGAUGCUAAUUUUUCAAAUUAGCGCAUAUUAUGCUACUUCAUCUCAAGCAACCUAUGAUGAUAGCUAAUAUUGAUGCAAUAUUCUGCCAUGCCUGCGGAUUCAACUUGCUAAGAUUUUGGUUAUGCCUUCAGGUUCAAGCAUUGUUGCUGAUUAUGUGAGCUGUUGAGAUUUUAGUAUUGAGCAUGGCUGCUUUAGAUUCAAUUUGAGCAAAUGUAAUUGUUUCCUUUUCUGUCACUAUAUUCUUACAAGGACUUUUUUGAUAGAAUAAAAUUAUGUCAGUAACAUGGUCUGUGACAAAAAUUAUUCUGUCAAAAAAAAAACUCAAUUUUGUAGUGAUUCCAAAUAAUGGUUUAGUUUCUUUCCUCGUUUUGUCAAUAAUUGAUUCUAUUCCUG